UUUAAAGUUUAACCUGCCCAAUGAAAUUUGAAUGGCCGCGGUAUAUUGACUGUGCGAAGGUAGCAUAAUAAUUAGUUUUUUAAUUGGAAACUGGUAUGAAUGGUUGGACGAGAAAAAAACUGUCUCUAUUUAAUUUAAUUAGAAUUUUAUUUUUAAGUAAAAAAGCUUAAAUUUAUUUAAAAGACGAGAAGACCCUAUAGAGUUUUAUAUUAUUAAUUAAUUAUAACUUUAAGAAUUUAUGUUUAGUUAAUAUAAUAGUAUUUGGUUGGGGUGACUAAAAAAUUAAAUAAACUUUUUUAUAAUUUGAACAUUAAUGAAUGAAUAUAUGAUCCAUUAUUUAUGAUUAAAAGAUUAAAUUACCUUAGGGAUAACAGCGUAAUUUUUUUUGAGAGUUCUUAUCGAAAAAAAAGAUUGCGACCUCGAUGUUGGAUUAAAAU
Molecule: ribosomal RNA, 437 nt
Filed under: Trypocopris sp. BMNH 793041
Lineage: Eukaryota; Metazoa; Arthropoda; Insecta; Coleoptera; Geotrupidae
Description: partial 16S ribosomal RNA
Source: RNAcentral